CGAAUGACUGCCCAGUGCCGUUGUAAUCGUGUACCCACAAGUAUGCACAUUGCUCGCUAGAACGAGAGAAAUGUCAAUACCGUGCCAUGCAACACCCGCUCGAAUCNNNNNNNNNNNAAGACAACGCCAAUAAAUGCUAUUCGCCAGCCGCCGAUGCCGUGAUCCAGUUUUGAUGUUCGAGUUCCUCAUUUGGAAGAAAAGAGAGGUUUUCGUGUGAGUACCCGCAACAUAAGAAGAAGUUGCUAUCUCCAUAGAGCAACCG
This 262-nucleotide unclassified non-coding RNA is filed under the name Hevea brasiliensis (rubber tree). Lineage: Eukaryota; Viridiplantae; Streptophyta; Magnoliopsida; Malpighiales; Euphorbiaceae. The record is from RNAcentral.